UGGGGAAUUUUGGACAAUGGGCGCAAGCCUGAUCCAGCCAUACCGCGUGCAGGAUGAAGGCCUUCGGGUUGUAAACUGCUUUUGUACGGAACGAAAAGACUCCUUCUAAUAAAGGGGGUCCAUGACGGUACCAUAAGAAUAAGCACCGGCUAACUACGUGCCAGCAGCCGCGGUAAUACGUAGGGUGCGAGCGUUAAUCGGAAUUACUGGGCGUAAAGCGUGCGCAGGCGGUUAGGUAAGACAGAUGUGAAAUCCCCGGGCUCAACCUGGGAACUGCAUUUGUGACUGCAUGGCUAGAGUACGGUAGAGGGGGAUGGUAUUCCGCGUGUAGCAGUGAAGUGCGUAGAUAAGCGGAGGAACACCGAUGGCGAAGGCAGCCUCCUGGGCCAGUACUGACGCUCAUGCACGAAAGCGUGGGGAGCAAACA
RNAcentral lists this ribosomal RNA (427 nucleotides) under uncultured bacterium. RNAcentral's name for it is "bacterial SSU rRNA". It matches the Rfam family "Bacterial small subunit ribosomal RNA", at positions 355 to 774 of the family's 1533-position model. The record is from RNAcentral.